GAGGCCCGGCGGGCAGUCAGCACCGGGGGUGCCAGCCCAGCCGCCGCCUAGUGCCUGACCGCGCGACCCCCACGUGCCAUGCGCCCGGUGUGGUCCUGUCACCUGCUCCCAGCCACCGAGACCCGCGGCCUGCACGUUGCAGGAGCGCCAUCGGCUCAAUCCCCGAAACGGCCGAAGGUGGCGAAGGGCUCGGGGGUCGUAAGGUCCCCCUCAGCGCACCGGACCGGCAGGGAUCAGUGCCCAGACUCCGAGCACUGGGAGCAGUCUGUCACCAGCUUGAAGUCUCAGGCCCCGAAAGUUCAGUUCUCCUUCCCCAGCUGUUUACCAGGCACUUCACACAGGGCGAGAAAACAUUGUUCCAGCUCAUCCAGGGCUUAAAAUACAAGCCAUAGACUAUGAAUUGUUGUGCUUUGUUUCCUAAGGGAAAUGAAUAUAUUUUACAGGAAUCAGACAAGAUUCUCUGGAGGGUGUUGGUAACUCACUUAUUUCAUUUCCAUGCCCUUGAUCAUAUCAGGUAUCCUUUCAACAGGCAUUGUUGCCAAGCACUAUGCCAGAAUGUAUUCCAGCACCUAGAAAAGGUCCUACUAUAAGUAGGCACCGAGCCAUGGGCAUCUCUCAGGACAACUGGCACAAGUGCCACAGGCUGGGGACAAGAGAAAGCCCUAUCAGAAGAAGCAAAUAUAUGAGCUGGGCCACCCUCCUGCCAACACUAAGAUGGGCACCCACUGAAUGCGCACAGUCGGAGCGCGAGGAGGCAGCAAAAAGUACCAUGUCUUGAAGCUAGAUGUGGGCAACUUUUCCUGGGCUCCAAGAGUUGUACAGGCAAAACAAGAAUUAUCGAUGUUGUCUACAGUGCAUCCAACAAUGACCUGGUCCACACCAAGGCCCUAGUAAAUGACUGCAUCAUGAUCAUUGACAGCACACCAGACGGACAGCAGUACAAAUCCCACCAUGUACUGUCCCUGGGCCAUAAGACGGGGGCCAAACUGACUCCUAAGGAUGAAGAGACUUUAAGCAAAAAACAUUUGAAGAAAAUGAAGAAGGAAUAUGACGAAAGGGGAAAGAACGCCACAGUCAGCAGUGCUCUAGAGGAACCGUUCUAGCAGAGCAAGCGUCUUGCACACAUGCCUCACAGCCGUGCUGCAGGUGGCUGUGUGCUGGAGGGCAAGAAGCUGGGCUUCUAGCUGAGGAAAGUCAAGGCCCAAGAAGGCAAACAAACCCUCCUCUCUCUCUUAACUCAUGUCAUAAAGGUGGUACACAGUCUACGGGAAAAAAAGAUAUUUUCAGAAAGGAGAAAGGAAAUAAUCAAAAAAGUACAGGAAAGAGGAAAGCUGGAGGAGAGGACGACAAAAAGUAUAAGGAAGAUUAAAAGAGAGAGAGAUUAUCAGGAUAGGCCAGAAGUAUGGGCAAGUAAGAGAAACAGAAGGAUAUUAAAUUGGUCAAACAGUGGGGUGUUAUUUACUGCCUGGAAUCAGCUGGAGGAUUUUCAACCUUGGCUGAAUUGACAGAACUAAGCUAAGUUCACUUGGGCUAAAAGGCAUUUUUUAAUGUUACAUAUCUUAUGUAAUUAAUUGUUUGCCUUAGAUCAGCAAUUUUCUACCGGCAUGCCACAAGAGUUUUUAAAGCAUGCAAUAUGUGACUAUUGGGUGAGGGGCCCUGACCUCUUUUCCCUUAGAUUGUCAAAUUAAAAAUUACAACAGCCACACAACAAUUGCCAUCUGGUGUGAAUGAAUCAAAAUUAUACCUAUUUUUGUCAGACUGGCAAAAAUAUAUAUAUUCUGGUGUGCUGCAGAAUUUUAGUAAUUAGUUUAUGUGCCAUGAGAUGAAAAAGGUUGAAAAUCAUCACCUUAGAUAAACAUGCCAUCAUUUUGAUGUACCUGAAUUAAACUUCAGAUGAAAUCUGUGAUCUGAGUUUGUCUUGAGCCUGCUGCAGAAGACCUAGAUCAACAAUGACUCAGUAGUCAAGAAGUAAAAAUAAAUAAAAGGAAAGGAAAAAAUAGAAAGCAAGGGAGAAAGGUGAGGUGCAAGCAAGAUUUGGACCAAAAUGUGUAUGGUUUCUGUACAGAAAAGAGAACGAGGACACAGGUAAAGAGAAUGGAAGAUGAAUGAUGGUGAGAAAACUUCUUGCUUGUGCUGGCUCCUCUAUCUCACUUUCUCCUUAUUACCUCUGCCUAUGAUUCUCUCACUAGAAAGCUCAUGCCAUUGCCACCUUUGCCACCAAAGCAUCCUGUGUCAAUCAGGAAAAGCUCUGGUCAGACCUCUCUUGGCUCUGACCUUUCAAAGACAGCUUUGGGCUAUAAACGUGUUUAUGUACCGCCUUCCUGCAUCUGAAGUCCCUCAAGUCAGGGACUUUGUCCUCCUCGUUUUAUCCAGGACCAAGCUCAGUGGCUUGCACUUAGAAUCUAUGCAAUAAAAAUGUAUUGAUGCCCUAACUCAGGGGUCCUCAAACUUUUUAAACAGGGACCAGUUCACUGUCCCUCAGACCGUUGGAGGGCCGGACUA
Molecule: long non-coding RNA, 2502 nt
Organism: Myotis myotis
Lineage: Eukaryota; Metazoa; Chordata; Mammalia; Chiroptera; Vespertilionidae
Exons: 4
Source: RefSeq, a predicted model, not a curated record